Long non-coding RNA from Phalaenopsis equestris, 1872 nucleotides. RefSeq lists it as uncharacterized. The record is from RefSeq and is a predicted model, not a curated record. The transcript has 3 exons. Lineage: Eukaryota; Viridiplantae; Streptophyta; Magnoliopsida; Asparagales; Orchidaceae.
CCAGGAUCGGACACUCGUUCAGAUAAUUAAUUCCUCCCUCCCGACACCUUCGCUGUCAUAGGGCAAACCUCGCCGCUCCGUUGUCGCACUCCGCGCCGGCGCUACUCCUGUCAGACUUCCCUCCAAGCCGGUGUCGCUCCCGUCGGCAUCUCCUCCUCCGCACGCCCGUGAGUCCGCCUCUCCCAUUUGCGUGUCCUAGCCGACUCAUGCGUUCGAGCCGGCCCCUCCCCGUGUGACAUUUUCUCGGCCUGAACCUCAUCGCCGCUGCUCCCACCUGAAUCGCCGGACUUGCUCCCUUUCUACUAUUCUCGGAAUUUGAUGCAGAAGAGCGACGUCGACGCUCCUUCCUGCAGGAAACCCUCUUGUCGCCGCCUGCUCUUGCCGGUGGGCUGCCUCCCACUUGCGCUGCCUCGUGCCGGUGUCGCUUCCCUCUCUCAUGCAAAAGGGUUGAUGCCUUAAUUUUGGGGAGCUUCUCGCAACAUCGACCGCACUCUGUCCUCCCUUUACGGCUGAAGACUCAUGCCACUGACAAUCUCAUGGACAUUAAGCAGCCACUCUCACGUAGGUUGCUAUUUCGAACAGUGGAGCAAUGAUGUUAGCUAGCCAUGGUGGCUCAACCUAUUAUCUGGAAUCUUGGGGUUUUCUAAGUAUGGGUGAUAUACUGAUAUUUUGAUAUGAUAAUCUUUGUUAGCCUGGGAGUUCAACAUGUCAGCCUGGGAAUUCUCUGAGCUCAAAUUUAGGUUUGUCUCAAUCAUUUUGCAAAAUAUGGUUUCUUGGAUUGUUGUUGUUGGAAUUGGCUAGUUUGCUAGUGGGUUAAUGCUUGUGAAUAUGAAAGUUCUUGUGUGAGAAAGGUAAAUCCAUAAUCGGGUGUUAUGUAUGUAAUUGCACCAAUUUUUGUGUGGGGUGUUAAUCUAAUGGCUUGAUAAUAAAUAUUUCUGUGCUUGAUGUUAAUCUGAUGGCUCGAUAGUAAAGCGAAGGAGAUAGGACUGAUUAUGAUUCUUACACUGCAUAAAUAUCUUUAUUUCAUUUUAAUUGGUAUGGGGUGUUGUUUAUAUUUACUAACUAUUCUUUCGCAUCAAUUUAUAUAUUCUGAAUAUAUUGGAUAUUGUGAAAGAAAAUUACUUACCUACUACAGAAAUUGUGUGAAUUAUUUGUCAUGUUAUGUGAAUUAUUUGCUUCUCAAUGUGUUCAAUUGUUUGCUUUGGCUUGGAUCUAGGUAGAUGUAUGUAAAUUUGUUUUCAUUUGUUUCCCAUCCAUAUUUUCAUGAUGUUGAUUAAUCCUGACACGUUAUAAAUGUAUUCCAGCUUCUUAUGUUUCUUUCUGUAUUCUUUUGAGAUAUGUAAAUACAUAAGCAGCUGGAAGAAUUAUUUUUCUAAUACAGGGUGUUAGGAACGUUUUGUUCUGUUGGGUCUUAUUUCCUCUGGCUCCAUGGAAAGGGAAAGUUAAGCAGCUGGAAGAAUACCAAUGAAUUGCUGAACUUUGAUCAUCCUUGUAGCCUUAUUGUUUUGUUCUGCUGGGUUUUAUUUCCUCUAGCUCCAUGGAAAUAUUAUGUUGUGGUAAUAGUUGUUUUCUGCAUGAAAUUGCAUCCUUUUCAAUCAAAUUGAUAGAUUUUUGGUUGAAUCCAUGUUGGAGUCAGAUGGUUGAAGUUGACAGUAAAUAGUUUAGAUAUAGUAUUUGUACAUAUAUUUUCUCCAAGUUUGUUAAUGCAGGAAUUAGUUGGUCUCCUUAUGAGAACUAAAUAUGAAAAGCAAAGGUAUGCCUUCCGCUGUUUUUGUUUAAUCAUUUGUAUUAUUAUUAUUUCAUAUAAGAGGUUAAAGUACUUGUACCACUUUUUAUGUUAUUUAGUUUUAUUUAUUUAUUUAUUUUUUUUUU